AUGACGCAGAGGCUGCCUGAUAGUUUUAUGAACAUGCUGAUGGGUGAAGAUCCGCCAAAUAAUGUGAAGCUGCGACAGGACGGCAGCGAGUUUCGCAGGCAGUGGGAUGUGGAGUUGGUGAUCAAGAAGGGCCACAUGUACUUGUCUCGUGGGUGGGAGAAGUUCUACCGUGCCUACGACCUGCGGCUGGGGUACUUCCUUCUCUUCAGGUACGACGACGACGCCACCAUGCUCAUCGUGAAUGUGUUCAACACGACUAUGUGUCGCAUGCGCUAUGCUGCCAAUGAUGAUGCCGGUAAUGGGAGCAGUAGCAGCGACACUGGCUACACCCAAAGCAGCAGCGACUAUGGCUAUAGCGAAAGCAGCUGCGAUUCUGGCUGUAGCGAAAGCAGCAGCGAUUCUGGCAGCAGCAUAGACAACAAGAAGGAUGAUCCGGACUGGAGUGCGGGAGAAGAGGAGCAGAGUGAGGAUGAGGAGCUGCAGGAUGACGAUGGGCAUCAAGCUGAGGAUGACCUAGCGCUGGUGGUGGCUGACCAAGGGCAAGAGAUGGUGGUGGCUGACCAUGGGCAAUAG
This 573-nucleotide ribosomal RNA is filed under the name Triticum aestivum (bread wheat). RNAcentral's name for it is "partial small subunit ribosomal RNA". Lineage: Eukaryota; Viridiplantae; Streptophyta; Magnoliopsida; Poales; Poaceae. The record is from RNAcentral.